RNAcentral lists this ribosomal RNA (589 nucleotides) under Aureobasidium namibiae. RNAcentral describes it as "eukaryotic LSU rRNA". It matches the Rfam family "Eukaryotic large subunit ribosomal RNA", at positions 68 to 664 of the family's 3401-position model. Lineage: Eukaryota; Fungi; Ascomycota; Dothideomycetes; Dothideales; Saccotheciaceae. The record is from RNAcentral.
ACUGGCAUUGCCCUAGUACGGCGAGUGAGCGGCAACAGCUCAAAUUUGAAAGCUAGCCUUCGGGUUCGCAUUGUAAUUUGUAGAGGAUGCUUUGGGUAAAACGCCAGUCUAAGUUCCUUGGAACAGGACGUCAUAGAGGGUGAGAAUCCCGUAUGUGACUGGAAAUGUUAACCUAUGUAAAGCUCCUUCGACGAGUCGAGUUGUUUGGGAAUGCAGCUCUAAAUGGGAGGUAAAUUUCUUCUAAAGCUAAAUAUUGGCGAGAGACCGAUAGCGCACAAGUAGAGUGAUCGAAAGAUGAAAAGCACUUUGGAAAGAGAGUUAAAAAGCACGUGAAAUUGUUGAAAGGGAAGCGCUUGCAAUCAGACUUGUUUAAACUGUUCGGCCGGUCUUCUGACCGGUUUACUCAGUUUGGACAGGCCAGCAUCAGUUUCGGCGGCCGGAUAAAGGCUCUGGGAAUGUGGCCUCCACUUCGGUGGAGGUGUUAUAGCCCAGUGUGUAAUACGGCCAGCCGGGACUGAGGUCCGCGCUUCGGCUAGGAUGCUGGCGUAAUGGUUGUAAGCGACCCGUCUUGAAACACGGGACCCCAAAC